UACGUAGGGGGCAAGCGUUGUCCGGAAUCAUUGGGCGUAAAGCGCGUGUAGGCGGCUUGGUAAGUCCGGUGUGAAACCUUGGGGCUCAACCCCAAGCCUGCAUCGGAAACUGCCUCGCUCGAGUCCGGGAGGGGAGAGCGGAAUUCCUAGUGUAGCGGUGAAAUGCGCAGAUAUUAGGAAGAACACCGGUGGCGAAGGCGGCUCUCUGGAACGGUACUGACGCUGAGACGCGAAAGCGUGGGGAGCAAACAGGGAUU
RNAcentral lists this ribosomal RNA (257 nucleotides) under uncultured bacterium. RNAcentral describes it as "partial 16S ribosomal RNA". It matches the Rfam family "Bacterial small subunit ribosomal RNA", at positions 524 to 779 of the family's 1533-position model. The record is from RNAcentral.